This 1254-nucleotide long non-coding RNA is filed under the name Homo sapiens (human). RNAcentral's name for it is "non-protein coding lnc-H2AFZ-1:3". The record is from RNAcentral. Lineage: Eukaryota; Metazoa; Chordata; Mammalia; Primates; Hominidae.
GAAUCGCGGUGCGACGAAGGAGUAGGUGGUGGGAUCUCACCGUGGGUCCGAUUAGCCUUUUCUCUGCCUUGCUUGCUUGAGCUUCAGCGGAAUUCGAAAUGGUAAACUUCGCAGAGACGCUCGAUGACUCCGCGGGUUUUUGCCGGCGAGAGAAAAACCCGUUACACAGAGGGAUGGGGGUGAAGUGGCGACGGUUGGGAACGCGCGGAGACAGGAUUUAGAAGAGUGGGGGGAGGUGUUUUGUCGGCUGCUAGCGGAGCAGCCUCGGAUCUCGCGGCGGGCGGCGACGGUUGGGUGGCGCGCGCAGCGCCGCUGGGGGCCGGCGGGCGGAGGCGCGCGGCCGUGGCGAGCGCGCGGCGGGGGGCGAACGGGCGGGGUCGCCCCUGCGGCGCGCCGCGGGCCGGAGACCCCGGCAGGGUGCGGGGACGCGCUCGCGGCGGGACGCGCCGCGGUGGGGGAUGGGCGCGCCGCCUUGGUAAUUCUAUAUUCUCCGUUCCUCCUCCGCUCGCGGGCGUGUGCGCGCCGCAGGCUGGCGGUAAGGCUGGAAAGGACUCCGGAAAGGCCAAGACAAAGGCGGUUUCCCGCUCGCAGAGAGCCGGCUUGCAGUUCCCAGUGGGCCGUAUUCAUCGACACCUAAAAUCUAGGACGACCAGUCAUGGACGUGUGGGCGCGACUGCCGCUGUGUACAGCGCAGCCAUCCUGGAGUACCUCACCGCAGAGGUACUUGAACUGGCAGGAAAUGCAUCAAAAGACUUAAAGGUAAAGCGUAUUACCCCUCGUCACUUGCAACUUGCUAUUCGUGGAGAUGAAGAAUUGGAUUCUCUCAUCAAGGCUACAAUUGCUGGUGGUGGUGUCAUUCCACACAUCCACAAAUCUCUGAUUGGGAAGAAAGGACAACAGAAGACUGUCUAAAGGAUGCCUGGAUUCCUUGUUAUCUCAGGACUCUAAAUACUCUAACAGCUGUCCAGUGUUGGUGAUUCCAGUGGACUGUAUCUCUGUGAAAAACACAAUUUUGCCUUUUUGUAAUUCUAUUUGAGCAAGUUGGAAGUUUAAUUAGCUUUCCAACCAACCAAAUUUCUGCAUUCGAGUCUUAACCAUAUUUAAGUGUUACUGUGGCUUCAAAGAAGCUAUUGAUUCUGAAGUAGUGGGUUUUGAUUGAGUUGACUGUUUUUAAAAAACUGUUUGGAUUUUAAUUGUGAUGCAGAAGUUAUAGUAACAAACAUUUGGUUUUGUACAGACAUUAUUUCCACUCUG